Molecule: small RNA, 29 nt
Filed under: Bombyx mori (domestic silkworm)
Lineage: Eukaryota; Metazoa; Arthropoda; Insecta; Lepidoptera; Bombycidae
Description: ovarian small RNA-30828
Source: RNAcentral
UGAACUGCGAGAUGAAGUCGAGGUGUCUU